CGCCAAGCUGCGCCGGGGGUUGAGCCGUGGACAGUGAGCCAAGUAAUGUCGGGGAUUUCUCACGUCGUCACAGAAGGAAGCUGCUGCUGGAAGCCGUAGUUUGGGCCGACGAAGGAGCGGACAGCCUUGACUGCGGACAGACACUCGUCCCAGCUGUAGCGGGUGGUGGUCAUCAGAGCCCCUCAACUUCUGGAAGUGGAGGAGUCCAAGUUAGCAGAGGCUGAAAUCUUUCGAACCCUGCGGAGUUAAAACUCUUCACCUCACCACAGCAGUCCUCAUUCAGAAAAUCCAACUGUUUCUCUCUACUCACACUAAAGAAUUCGAGGGGGAAAAAAAACGUUAGUUGGUUAUUAUGAGUGAUGCUGUAAAUCAGUGGUGGGCAGAAAGCUCCUUUCUGUGUGUUUUGCCCCUCUCCCUCUCUCUUUUCAAAGCUUUCUCAAUUCUUUACGACUUUAAGAAGAUGAGUAAUAUAACUGUUUCUCCUCGACUGUCACGCCCUGUGACCACAAUCUGGAAGGCUACAGUGGACAAGUGUUGGUGAAACCACACUGCGUUACUCAUAAUGGCUUCACAAAUUCAUAUGCACAAUGGUAAAUAAAUAAAUAAAUAAAUAAGACAGCGU
Lampris incognitus (smalleye Pacific opah) is the source of this 622-nucleotide long non-coding RNA. RefSeq lists it as uncharacterized. NCBI's taxonomy places the organism in Eukaryota, Metazoa, Chordata, Actinopteri, Lampriformes, Lampridae. The record is from RefSeq and is a predicted model, not a curated record. The transcript is spliced from 3 exons.